Calidris pugnax (ruff) is the source of this 698-nucleotide long non-coding RNA. RefSeq lists it as uncharacterized. Lineage: Eukaryota; Metazoa; Chordata; Aves; Charadriiformes; Scolopacidae. The record is from RefSeq and is a predicted model, not a curated record. The transcript has 3 exons.
ACUGAAGUGACUGUUGACAAUGGAAUACAAUACGCCACCAUCGCCCACGUUGGACAUGACAGGCGUGGUGUGCAGGAGAUGGAGCCCACCACAACGUAUGCCACGGUGAGCCGCUCCCGCAGCCAGCCCCGAUAGCGCUCCAGCACGGCGAGGGCACAGGGAGCCUUGCCCACCUUGGCCUUUUCUCUCGGGCAGAGAGCUCCCGCCCUGGGAAAAUGGGGCUGCUCUAUUCUGGAGGACUUGCACCAAAACUGUCUCUGUGAUGGGCACAGAUAUGUACAAUGUGUGAUAGCUCAAUGCAUAAAAAAUACAUGCUCUCUAAUGUGAAUGUACAGGUGAGCAGACAUCUCCUUCUGCACCUCGAGUGCAGACAUCUCCUUCCCACUCUGUAACGUGGAACGUGUGUGUCCAUAAACUGCGUGACACAGCUACGGGUGGGCUCUGAUAUCUCCCCGCACCCACGCACGGCUGUAGAGACGGGGACCCAGAGCCACGGGCACUGAGGUGCUCACACCUCUCUCUCAAGAGCUCUGGGCAAGGAGGAGGCAAUUUGGCUCCAAGGAACAAGAAACCUCCCGGGAUUCCUCUCAGCGCUGGCACCUCUCUCGGAUCCGGUCCCUUCAGGAAUGGCCUUGAGCUGCCCAGAGACAGCCCUAGAGAUACAAAGGGGGGCUGUCGAGAUCUGAAGGGACUGUGGA